CGCGUGGGAAUGUGCCUUUUGGUUCGGAAUAGCCCCGGGAAACGUUGGGAGUAAUACCGGAUGUGCCCUUCGGGGGAAAGAUUUAUCGCCAAAGGAUCAGCCCGCGUUAGAUUAGCUAGUUGGUGAGGUAACGGCUCACCAAGGCGACGAUCUAUAGCUGGUCUGAGAGGACGACCAGCCACACUGGGACUGAGACACGGCCCAGACUCCUACGGGAGGCAGCAGUGGGGAAUCUUGGACAAUGGGCGCAAGCCUGAUCCAGCCAUGCCGCGUGAAUGAUGAAGGCCUUAGGGUUGUAAA
RNAcentral lists this ribosomal RNA (300 nucleotides) under uncultured Maricaulis sp. RNAcentral's name for it is "bacterial SSU rRNA". It matches the Rfam family "Bacterial small subunit ribosomal RNA", at positions 114 to 429 of the family's 1533-position model. The record is from RNAcentral. Lineage: Bacteria; Pseudomonadati; Pseudomonadota; Alphaproteobacteria; Maricaulales; Maricaulaceae.